RNAcentral lists this ribosomal RNA (601 nucleotides) under Kribbella sp. YIM 75307. RNAcentral's name for it is "bacterial SSU rRNA". It matches the Rfam family "Bacterial small subunit ribosomal RNA", at positions 86 to 701 of the family's 1533-position model. The record is from RNAcentral. Lineage: Bacteria; Bacillati; Actinomycetota; Actinomycetes; Propionibacteriales; Kribbellaceae.
GGUACACGAGCGGCGAACGGGUGAGUAACACGUGAGCAACCUACCCUCAACUUUGGGAUAAGCCUCGGAAACGGGGUCUAAUACCGGAUAACACCAUGUUCCUCAUGGAGUGUGGUUGAAAGUUCUGGCGGUUGGGGAUGGGCUCGCGGCCUAUCAGCUUGUUGGUGGGGUAAUGGCCUACCAAGGCGUCGACGGGUAGCCGGCCUGAGAGGGCGACCGGCCACACUGGGACUGAGACACGGCCCAGACUCCUACGGGAGGCAGCAGUGGGGAAUAUUGCGCAAUGGACGAAAGUCUGACGCAGCAACGCCGCGUGAGGGAUGACGGCCUUCGGGUUGUAAACCUCUUUCAGCAGGGACGAAGCGAGAGUGACGGUACCUGCAGAAGAAGGACCGGCCAACUACGUGCCAGCAGCCGCGGUAAUACGUAGGGUCCGAGCGUUGUCCGGAAUUAUUGGGCGUAAAGGGCUCGUAGGCGGUUCGUCACGUCGGGAGUGAAAACUCGGGGCUUAACCCCGAGCCUGCUUCCGAUACGGGCAGACUAGAGGUAGGCAGGGGAGAGCGGAACUCCUGGUGUAGCGGUGGAAUGCGCAGAUAUCAGG